AUGGACCUCGUCGAAAUCGGCGACGACAUCGAGGUCUUCGCCAGGGUGCAACCUGGGCUGAGCUCGUACGCUGGGCGACCGCAGGAGGCUGCCAAGUCUAUGCUGCCUCUGCUUGGCAAGGCCAAGAGCGUUGUCCCGGGCUCGCUUAUGAAAACGACUCCCCUUAAACUAGGGGCGACGGCUGGACUCAGACUUAUCGGAGAUGAGCAAGCAGAGGAGAUUCUUCAGGCGGUGAGGGAUGUCGUCCACACAGAGAGCAGGUUUCAGUACAAUCCAAAGUGGAUCAACGUUCUUGAGGGAUCUCAAGAAGGAUCUUACAUAUGGGUUGCUCUGAACUAUCUGCUGGACAAAUUGGGAGGAGACUACUCAAAGACGGUAGGUGUGAUUGAUCUUGGCGGUGGGUCGGUGCAAAUGGCGUAUGCGGUUUCUGGAGAUGCUGCGGCGAAUGCUCCGGCUGUUCCUGAUGGCAAGGACCCCUACAUCACCAAGGAAUACCUCAAGGGAAAAGACUACAACGUAUAUGUCCACAGUUACUUGUACUACGGUGGUUUAGCCGCUCGUGUGGAGAUCUUGAAGGCGAAGAAGGGGCCAUUCAGCUCCUGCAUACUCCGUGGAUUCAGUGGUAAGUACACCUACAAUGGCGAGGAGUACGACGCCUCAGCCUCGCCGGAGGGCGCGGCGUACGACAAGUGCAGGGAGGAGAUCGCCAGGGCGCUGAAGCUGGACGCGCCUUGCGCGGCCAAGAACUGCACCUUCGGCGGCGUGUGGAACGGCGGUGGCGGGGCCGGCCAGGACACCAUCUACGUCGCGUCCUUCUUCUACGGCAAGGCCACCCAGGUCGGGUGGGUCGACAAGGGCGCGCCCAGCGCAAAGUCCAGCCCGGCGGCGUACCUGGCUGCCGCCGAGAAGGUGUGCCCGCUCAGCGUCCAGGAAGCCAAGGCCGCGUACCCUGGCCUCCUCGACGUGCCCUACGCCUGCAUGGACCUCGUCUACGAGUACACCCUGCUCGUCGACGGUUUUGGAAUUGCGCCGAGCAAGGAGAUCACGCUGGUGGAGAAGGUGAAGCACGGGGAGUACUUGAUCAAGGCGGCGUGGCCGCUGGGUGAGGCCAUCGAGGCCGUCGCGCCCAAGAAACGACUUGCGCGAUUUCUACUCUAA
Molecule: ribosomal RNA, 1158 nt
Filed under: Triticum aestivum (bread wheat)
Lineage: Eukaryota; Viridiplantae; Streptophyta; Magnoliopsida; Poales; Poaceae
Description: partial small subunit ribosomal RNA
Source: RNAcentral